Molecule: ribosomal RNA, 253 nt
Filed under: uncultured bacterium
Lineage: Bacteria
Description: partial 16S ribosomal RNA
Rfam family: Bacterial small subunit ribosomal RNA
Source: RNAcentral
UACGAAGGGUGCUAGCGUUGUUCGGAAUCACUGGGCGUAAAGCGCACGUAGGCGGAUUUGUCAGUCAGGGGUGAAAUCCCGGGGCUCAACCUCGGAACUGCCUUUGAUACAGCAAGUCUUGAGUUCGAGAGAGGUGGGUGGAAUUCCUAGUGUAGAGGUGAAAUUCGUAGAUAUUAGGAAGAACACCGGUGGCGAAGGCGGCCCACUGGCACGAUACUGACGCUGAGGUGCGAAAGCGUGGGGAGCAAACAGG